CUGGCCUCUGCCCCCCAAGUACCACCAGCUAUUUGCCCAGCUGCACCAGGAAGGCAGAGGAUGCUGCAUUUUCAUCCUACAACCUGGAACCUACAGGCCAGUACUGUUUAUUGUGGGGGGGCUACUUUGCUACUUGUUAUUUGUGGGUGGGUUGCGAGACUAACUUAGGCACUGACCGACAGAAGGUCAGGUGCCUGGUUAGUCUCCCUCCAAAAGGGGAGAUAUGUUACAGACUGCCAUUUGUAACUGUUAUUUUAUUUGACAAAUUGCCCUGCUUCCCUGU
This is a non-coding RNA of Pelobates cultripes (western spadefoot toad), 283 nucleotides long. The record is from the annotation of a GenBank genome assembly. NCBI's taxonomy places the organism in Eukaryota, Metazoa, Chordata, Amphibia, Anura, Pelobatidae.